UACAUUAGCUCAUUUCAUUUUUAAAGAAUCCUCUGAGGUGGGCAGGGAUGGAAUAAAAAGGCCUACCUCAUUGGGCUCGUGUGGGUGAGGAGAACUGAAGAGUCUGAGAGCGCGGCACGAGCCAGAGGCUACGGAAAACACUGCCCUCCUACACUCCACCUUGGAGAGACCCAGAAAAGAACAAGCUUCAUUUGUAAAAAAGGAAAACAACUCAGGCAAUGGGGGUGGCUUAAAGGCACUCUACAGUGUGCAGAUGCCUUCCACUUCUUCCAUCUGCCCUGUCUCUCCAAGAACCCCUAUGGCCCCGGUCUCAGAACAGAGCUGAGUGCAGAAAUGAAAAUCUAUGGCUCUGUGUUCCAAAACGAUGAAGAAUUUCAAGAUGGUGGCAGUGGUAAAAUCUUUCUCCAGGAAAAAUCUGUCCUUGGCCCAAUGUGUAAACACUUGCUGAGGAACUUGGAAUAACUUGCAGUGUCUUGCAGUAUUGUGAAACCAGCAACUUGUUCACAAUUCUUCUGAAUUUCUUGGGAAAUUUGAAGUGGAGUACCUGUACCAACAUGAAAUGACACGAAUUUAAGUGACGCUCAACAACGAAAAGCAAAAAGAACCAAAGAGGAAGCAACUGAAACAACAUCUGGAUGUAUUUAAAAAUAUACAAUGCCUCCAAAAUCAGGUGUCAUUAAUGAAAAUUCUGAAGAAAUGCCACCGGACAUAGCCAACGCACCUACGCUGUUGUUAUUCAUUUCCUGCUUUUCACAGAAAACAAUUUUGUUGCAUGGAAGAUCGUGAACUUCAAAGGGCAGAGGGGAAACUGUCCCUUGGCCUCUACCCCUCCAAGGCCCCACUUUUUUGUCAACACUCCUUGGACGCAGCAGAAGUAUGAACAUAAUAUGGUCCUGAAUGAGGCUGAGUCUUUGGGCGCAGAAGACCCGGGUUAAUAAAAAUAGGAAGGUAAGAAAAGAAAAGAAAAAUCAAGACACAUCAUAGGACUAAAUUCCUAUUAUUUAUCCACUCAGGAUUGACCACCCCUUUGGGCCAGAUAGUUGUACCCCCAUGUACCAGGUGGGCACAUGAAGACACAAGAAGUGCUGUGAUGGUUCAUUUUGCACGUCACCUUGCGUGGAGUAUGCCAACUCAUUGUUUGGUCAAACACUAGUCUGGACAUGGUGGUAAAGGUAUUUUUUAGAUGAGAUUAACACUUAAAUCAGUAAAGCAGGUUACCCACCAUACUACGGGUGGGCCCUGUCCAAUCAGUUGAAGGCAUUAAGAACAAAGAUUGAGGUUUCCUAAAGAAGAUGGAAUUCUCCUUGAGACUACAACAUAGAAACCCUAUCUGAGUUUCCAGCCUGUUGCCCUGUGGAAUUCAAACUCAGGACUCCGGUCUAUGACAUUAACCCUCACUUAACUUUUCAGCCUGCCAGCCUGCCCUAUGGAUUUCGGACUUGCCAGCCACACAAUUCCUUAAAAUAAAUCUCUCCGUC
Molecule: long non-coding RNA, 1478 nt
Organism: Homo sapiens (human)
Lineage: Eukaryota; Metazoa; Chordata; Mammalia; Primates; Hominidae
Gene: DRAIC
Product: downregulated RNA in cancer, inhibitor of cell invasion and migration
Source: Ensembl